RNAcentral lists this long non-coding RNA (2925 nucleotides) under Canis lupus familiaris (dog). Its description in RNAcentral is "lncRNA (ENSCAFG00040009172.1)". The record is from RNAcentral. Lineage: Eukaryota; Metazoa; Chordata; Mammalia; Carnivora; Canidae.
AUGCCCCCCCGCCCGCUCCCCGUGUGGCUGCGCUCCGCACCCCUCCCCGCGCUCCGUCCCGCCCCGCCCUUCCCCGCCCCUCCCCCCCCCCCGCGCUCCCCACUCCCCGCCCCUGCCCCCCGCCCGCUCCCCGUGUGGCUGCGCUCCGCACCCCUCCCCGCGCUCCGUCCCGCCCCGCCCUUCCCCGCCCCCUCCCCCUUCCCCCUCCCCGCUCUCCCACUCCCCCCCCUGGCCCCGCCCGCUCCCCGUGUGGCUGCGCUCCGCACCCACCCCCACCCCCCGGCGCUCCGCACCCCCUCCCCCCUCCCCGCCCCUCCCCUUCCCCCCUUCCCCCCCUCCCCCCCUCCCCGCGCUCCCCACUUCCCGCCCCUGCCCCCCGCCCACUCCCCGUGUGGCUGCGCUCCGCACCCCUCCCCGCGCUCCGUCCCGCCCCGCCCUUCCCCGCCCCUCCCCUUCCCCGCCCCCUCCCCUUCCCCGCCCCCUCCCCCUUCCCCCCUCCCCGCGCUCCCUACUCCCCGCCCCUGCCCCCCGCCCGCUCCCGGUGUGGCUGCGCUCCGCACCCACCCCCCGCCCGGCGCUCCGCACCCCCUCCCCCCUCCAACCCCUCCCCUCCCUCCUCCCUCCUCCCUCCUCCCCCCGGCCGCUCGCAGCCGUCCUCCGGGGGGGUCAGCGUGGGCGGAGGGCGGGCCCCUCGCGGGGCGGGGCGGGGCGCGGAGCCGGCGGCGGGGCCUCGGGUGCGCUGGGGCGGGCGUUGGCAGCCAUGAGCGCGCACCUGCCCGGACAGCCGCCCCCCGCCGCCCCCGGAGGCCGCCCCGGACGCCCGCAGGACCCCGCGCCGGUGAGUGCGCCCCCGCCCCCGCCCCCACCCCGCCCCCGCCGCUCGCCGCGCCCCUCCCCCACCCGCACCCCACCUCCCCGUCACCUGGGCGGCCCGCGGGCGGGGCGGGCGCUGGGUCCUGGCUGGAGGGGCGCGCACCUCCCGGCCGCCCCCGACCCGACCCCGAAUGCAAACUGCGGACUUGCUGCUCAGCGCCCGGAGGCCUGGCGGGAAGCGCAGGGGCCAAUGCUCCUGGGAUCCAGAGUUUUCUAGAAUUGAGUUUGGGGUCGGGGCCCCAGUUCCUUGACUUGGGCGGCCCCUGGAUCCGCGAGUGUCAGAGCCGGGGCCCCGGGUCAAAGCCAGGUCAGGGGGCUCCCACUUUGCACCCCGUUCCCUGGACUCCUGUGUCCCUCCUGGUGCGGGUGCCCCGGGCGCCCUGCACCUGGGGACGGCUCUGCCCACCGGGCGCCCUGCACCUGGGGACGGCCGUGCCCACCGGGCGCCCUGCACUUGGGGACGGCUCUGCCCACCGGGCGCCCUGCACCUGGGGACGGCUCUGCCCACCGGGCGCCCUGCACCUGGGGACGGCUCUGCCCACCGGGCGCCCUGCACCUGGGGACGGCCGUGCCCACCGGGCGCCCUGCACCUGGGGACGGCUCUGCCCACCGGGCGCCCUGCACCUGGGGACGGCUCUGCCCACCGGGCGCCCUGCACCUGGGGACCGCUCUGCCCACCGGGCGCCCUGCACCUGGGACGGCUGUGCCCACCGGGCGCCCUGCACCUGGGGACGGCUCUGCCCACCGGGCUCCCUGCACCUGGGACAGCCGUGCCCACCGGGCGCCCUGCACCUGGGGACGGCUCUGCCCACCGGGCGCCCUGCACCUGGGGACGGCUCUGCCCACCGGGCGCCCUGCACCUGGGACGGCCGUGCCCACCGGGCGCCCUGCACCUGGGGACGGCUCUGCCCACCGGGCGCCCUGCACCUGGGACGGCCGUGCCCACCGGGCGCCCUGCACCUGGGGACGGCUCUGCCCACCGGGCUCCCUGCACCUGGGACGGCCGUGCCCACCGGGCGCCCUGCACCUGGGGACGGCUCUGCCCACCGGGCACCCUGCACCUGGGGACGGCUCUGCCCACCGGGCGCCCUGCACCUGGGACGGCCAUGCCCACCGGGCGCCCUGCACCUGGGGACGGCUCUGCCCACCGGGCGCCCUGCACCUGGGGACGGCCGUGCCCACCGGGCGCCCUGCACCUGGGGACGGCUCUGCCCACCGGGCGCCCUGCACCUGGGGACGGCUCUGCCCACCGGGCGCCCUGCACCUGGGACGGCCGUGCCCACCGGGCGCCCUGCACCUGGGGACGGCUCUGCCCACCGGGCGCCCUGCACCUGGGGACGGCCGUGCCCACCGGGCGCCCUGCACCUGGGGACGGCUCUGCCCACCGGGCGCCCUGCACCUGGGGACGGCUCUGCCCACCGGGCGCCCUGCACCUGGGGACGGCUCUGCCCACCGGGCGCCCUGCACCUGGGGACGGCUCUGCUCACCGGGCGCCCUGCACCUGGGGACGGCUCUGCCCACCGGGCGCCCAGCACCUGGGACGGCUGUGCCCACCGGGCGCCCUGCACCUGGGGACAGCUCUGCCCACCGGGCUUCCUGCACCUGGGACAGCCGUGCCCACCGGGCGCCCUGCACCUGGGGACGGCUCUGCCCACCAGGCGCCCUGCACCUGGGGACGGCUCUGCCCACCGGGCGCCCUGCACCUGGGACGGCCGUGCCCACCGGGCGCCCUGCACCUGGGGACGGCUCUGCCCACCGGGCUCCCUGCACCUGGGACGGCCGUGCCCACCGGGCGCCCUGCACCUGGGGACGGCUCUGCCCACCGGGCACCCUGCACCUGGGGACGGCUCUGCCCACCGGGCGCCCUGCACCUGGGACGGCCGUGCCCACUGGGCGCCCUGCACCUGGGAACGGCUGUGCCCACCAUGUGCCCUCCACCUGGGGGCAUCUCUGAGUCCAGUUCCUCCAAAGGAUGCUGUUUUCACACCCAUUCCAGUCCUUGCCCCAAACAACUCCCCUUCUACCUUCUUUUUUGAAAAGCUAAACUGCUGA